GAUGAACGCUGGCGGCGUGCCUAAUACAUGCAAGUCGAGCGAGAAGCUUGGAAAUGACGCUUCGGUUGAUUUUCCAAGCGGACAGCGGCGGACGGGUGAGUAACGCGUAGGCAACCUGCCCCUGACAGAGGGAUAGCCAUUGGAAACGAUGAUUAAAACCUCAUGACACCGUAGUAGCACAUGCUACAUCGGUCAAAGAUUUAUCGGUCAGGGAUGGGCCUGCGUCUGAUUAACUGGUUGGUGAGGUAACGGCUCACCAAGGUGACGAUCAGUAGCCGACCUGAGAGGGUGAUCGGCCACAUUGGAACUGAGACACGGUCCAAACUUCUACGGAAGGCAGCAGUAGGGAAUCUUGCACAAUGGGCGAAAGCCUGAUGCAGCAACGCCGCGUGAAGGAUGAAGGGCCUUCGGGUUGUAAAACUUUCUGUUUCUAAAGGGAAAGAAAAGAAAUUGAACCGGUACCUU
This 465-nucleotide ribosomal RNA is filed under the name Mogibacterium timidum. Its description in RNAcentral is "bacterial SSU rRNA". It matches the Rfam family "Bacterial small subunit ribosomal RNA", at positions 28 to 481 of the family's 1533-position model. Lineage: Bacteria; Bacillati; Bacillota; Clostridia; Peptostreptococcales; Anaerovoracaceae. The record is from RNAcentral.